This is a long non-coding RNA of Ostrea edulis (European flat oyster), 860 nucleotides long. RefSeq lists it as uncharacterized. The transcript is spliced from 2 exons. The record is from RefSeq and is a predicted model, not a curated record. NCBI's taxonomy places the organism in Eukaryota, Metazoa, Mollusca, Bivalvia, Ostreida, Ostreidae.
CUUAAUAAAGCUAUAGGCCUAUAACUAAAACUAUUGAGAUUGUCCUGGACCUGUAAAAACAGUUCUGUAUCAAGUGAAGUAUGUGGAUUAUCAUAUAGAUCUCCGAAAUUUGGAACCUCAACAUUUACAGGAGCGACCAUGACCAUGAGUAAUCAGUUAUUGAGGAAGUUGAUCUCAGUGAGUGAAGUGCAAAGUUCUGGCUUAUGUGUGAUUCCCCUACAUCAGAUUAUCAGCAACAUCAUCAGCUGAUCAUGAGAUAAUAUUAUGUAAUUUCAUUGUAAACUGAAUUGUAACAUUUGACAUCAUGGAUCUAUGUCCUCUAUGAAACUUUCGUGCAACUAUGGGCACAUCCAGGACAUUUACUAGUCCAGGUCACAGAGACGUUUCUCGCCUAUGACAGCAGCAUUCAUUGAAAAGGGAACACGGACUGUACCAAAGUACAGACCGAGAAAAAAUGAAGAAAAAGAAAAAUACCUGCCAUGUGCACACUGUUUGGCCGUUGUUGUAGCUACAGACUUAUGGAAGCACCAAAAGUCAUGUCCAGCAAACAAAUCUCAACAAAAUUUAAAAUAUCCUGUAUGUGAAGGACGUUUGCUGUUACCCUGUGACUGGAUUUUCAAAAAAACUACAUCAAAUUGUUUACAAACUUUCUUGCUAUCUCCUUUGUAUUUUAAUACAUAUCUAACAUGUAAUGAUAAUAAAUUAUCAUAGAAAGGUUAAUUUAUCUUCGUAAAUACACAGUUUAUACAAAGACCUUAUCUUGUCGAUUAAAGUUUUUAAAGUUGCUUUCAUAAUGAAUUUUUCGAUUAAAUGUUAACAUUAAAAAAUAAUCCCAUUAUUUGAAGUAAUAAAUAUUAAAU